Daldinia caldariorum is the source of this 107-nucleotide non-coding RNA. The record is from the annotation of a RefSeq genome assembly. Lineage: Eukaryota; Fungi; Ascomycota; Sordariomycetes; Xylariales; Hypoxylaceae.
GACCUGGUGGUGCAGUGGGAGCACAUUCCAUCAUUACGUGCUUCUGAAAAACAAUCAGAUGAAAGGUCGAGGUUGGGAAGACGUGGGUUCAAAUCCCACUCGGGCCA